GGAGGCGUCGCAUAGUGGUCUAGUGCAGCGGUUUCGAAAACCGCCAGGGUGAAAGCCCUCGUGAGUUCGAAUCUCACCGCCUCCGCCA
RNAcentral lists this transfer RNA (88 nucleotides) under Candidatus Kaiserbacteria bacterium RIFCSPHIGHO2_01_FULL_58_22. RNAcentral's name for it is "tRNA-Ser". It matches the Rfam family "tRNA". From Rfam's summary of the family: Transfer RNA (tRNA) molecules are approximately 80 nucleotides in length. Their secondary structure includes four short double-helical elements and three loops (D, anti-codon, and T loops). RNAcentral also lists the same sequence under 3 other names. Lineage: Bacteria; Candidatus Kaiseribacteriota. The record is from RNAcentral.